Molecule: ribosomal RNA, 813 nt
Filed under: uncultured bacterium
Lineage: Bacteria
Description: bacterial SSU rRNA
Rfam family: Bacterial small subunit ribosomal RNA
Source: RNAcentral
UGCAUGUCGACGAGGUGCUUUGCACCUAUUGGCGAACGGGUGAGUAACACGUAUCUAACCUACCUUUUAGUGGGGGAUAACAGUUGGAAACGACGGCUAUUACCGCAUACGACACCUUUAUGGCAUCAAAAGGUGUUAAAAGGCCCGUUUGGGUCGCUAGAAAAUGGGGAUGCGGCGUAUUAUCUAUUAGGUGGGGUAAUUGCCCCCCUAGGCAAUGAUACGUACCCAAACUGAAAGGUUGAUCGGCCACAUUGGGACUGAAAUACGGCCCAAACUCCUACGGGAGGCAGCAUUAGGGAAUUUUUCACAAUGGACAAAAGUCUGAUGAAGCAAUGCCGCGUGAGUGAUGACGGUCUUCGAAUUGUAAAGCUCUGUUGUAAGGGAAAAAUAGGUAAAAAAGGAAAUGUUUUUAUUUUGACGGUACCUUACCAAAAAGCCACGGCUAACUAUGUGCCAGCAGCCGCGGUAAUACAUAGGUGGCAAGCGUUAUCCGGAUUUAUUGGGCGUUCAGGGUGCGUAGGCGGUUCGAUAAGUUUGAGGUUAAAUCCCGGGGCUCAACCCCGGUUCGCCUUGAAAGAUGUCUUACUAGAAUACGGGAGAGAGUAGGAUGGAAUUCCAUGUAGUAGUGGGAGAAAUGCGUAAAAUUAAUGGAAGAGACCACUAGUGGCUUAAAGCGGUCUAACUGGCCCUGUAUUUGACGCUGAGGCGCGAAGGCGUGGGGAGCAACUAGUAUUAAAUACCCCUAAGUAGUCCACGCCGUAAACGUUGAAUUACUAAGUGUCGGCUUUUAUUCAGUAGCUGCAGCUAUCGCAU